UACGGAGGAUGCAAGCGUUAUCCGGAAUGAUUGGGCGUAAAGCGUCCGCAGGUGGCUAUGUAAGUCUGCUGUUAAAGAGUGAGGCUCAACCUCAUAAGAGCAGUGGAAACUACAUGGCUAGAGUGCGUUCGGGGCAGAGGGAAUUCCUGGUGUAGCGGUGAAAUGCGUAGAUAUCAGGAAGAACACCGGUGGCGAAAGCGCUCUGCUAGGCCGCAACUGACACUGAGGGACGAAAGCGAGGGGAGCGAAUGGG
RNAcentral lists this ribosomal RNA (253 nucleotides) under uncultured bacterium. RNAcentral's name for it is "partial 16S ribosomal RNA". It matches the Rfam family "Bacterial small subunit ribosomal RNA", at positions 524 to 776 of the family's 1533-position model. The record is from RNAcentral.